This 324-nucleotide ribosomal RNA is filed under the name uncultured bacterium. Its description in RNAcentral is "bacterial SSU rRNA". It matches the Rfam family "Bacterial small subunit ribosomal RNA", at positions 28 to 351 of the family's 1533-position model. The record is from RNAcentral.
GACGAACGCUGGCGGCGUGCUUAACACAUGCAAGUCGAGCGGUAAGGCCCUUUCGGGUUACACGAGCGGCGAACGGGUGAGUAACACGUGGGUGACCUGCCCUCAGCUCUGGGAUAAGCCUGGGAAACUGGGUCUAAUACUGGAUAUGACUCCACGGUGCAUGUCGGUGGGGUGGAAAGCCUUGUGCGGCUGAGGAUGGGCCCGCGGCCUAUCAGUCUUGUUGGUGGGGUGANGGCCUACCAAGGCGACGACGGGUAGCCGGCCUGAGAGGGCGACCGGCCACACUGGGACUGAGACACGGCCCAGACUCCGUACGGGAGGCAG